This 72-nucleotide transfer RNA is filed under the name Loxodonta africana (African savanna elephant). It matches the Rfam family "tRNA". Rfam says of the family: Transfer RNA (tRNA) molecules are approximately 80 nucleotides in length. Their secondary structure includes four short double-helical elements and three loops (D, anti-codon, and T loops). Lineage: Eukaryota; Metazoa; Chordata; Mammalia; Proboscidea; Elephantidae. The record is from Rfam by way of RNAcentral.
ACAGUGGUGGUUAGUGGUAGAAUUCUUCCCUUCCACGUGGAGGAGACCCAGGUUCGAUUCCCGGCCACCGUA